Molecule: ribosomal RNA, 254 nt
Filed under: uncultured prokaryote
Description: partial 16S ribosomal RNA
Rfam family: Bacterial small subunit ribosomal RNA
Source: RNAcentral
UACGGAGGAUGCAAGCGUUAUCCGGAUUUAUUGGGUUUAAAGGGUGCGCAGGUUGUUUGAUAAGUCAGUGGUGAAAGUCUGUCGCUUAACGGUAGGAUUGCCAUUGAUACUGUUGGACUUGAAUAUGGAUGAGGUAGGCGGAAUGUGUAGUGUAGCGGUGAAAUGCAUAGAUAUUACACAGAACACCGAUUGCGAAGGCAGCUUACUAAUCCGUCAUUGACGCUGAGGCACGAAAGCGUGGGGAUCAAACAGGA